GACGAACGCUGGCGGCGUGCCUAAUACAUGCAAGUCGAACGCAGUGGGGACGGGUGAGUAACACGUGGGUAACCUCCCAACAGAGGGGAUAACACUUGGAAACAGGUGCUAAACAGAUAUUGAUGGAUGGACCCGCGGUGCAUUAGCUAGUUGGUGAGGUAACGGCUCACCAAGGCCACGAUGCAUACCCGACCUGAGAUGGUGAUCGGCCACACUGGGACUGAGACACGGCCCAGACUCCUACGGGAGGCAGCAGUAGUGAAUCUUCGGCAAUGGACGAAAGUCUGACCGCGCAACGCCGCGUGAGUGAAGAAGGUUUACGGAUCGUAAAACUCUGUUGUUAGAGAAGCGGUAUCUAACCAGGAAGCCACGGCUAACUCCGUGCCAGCAGCCGCGGUAAUAC
RNAcentral lists this ribosomal RNA (403 nucleotides) under uncultured bacterium. RNAcentral's name for it is "partial 16S ribosomal RNA". It matches the Rfam family "Bacterial small subunit ribosomal RNA", at positions 28 to 526 of the family's 1533-position model. The record is from RNAcentral.